GGCUCGUUGGUCUAGGGGUAUGAUUCUCGCUUAGGGUGCGAGAGGUCCGGGUUCAAAUUCCAAGACGAGCCC
This 72-nucleotide transfer RNA is filed under the name Astyanax mexicanus (Mexican tetra). It matches the Rfam family "tRNA". From Rfam's summary of the family: Transfer RNA (tRNA) molecules are approximately 80 nucleotides in length. Their secondary structure includes four short double-helical elements and three loops (D, anti-codon, and T loops). The record is from Rfam by way of RNAcentral. Lineage: Eukaryota; Metazoa; Chordata; Actinopteri; Characiformes; Acestrorhamphidae.